This 540-nucleotide ribosomal RNA is filed under the name uncultured Geobacter sp. RNAcentral describes it as "bacterial SSU rRNA". It matches the Rfam family "Bacterial small subunit ribosomal RNA", at positions 8 to 526 of the family's 1533-position model. RNAcentral also lists the same sequence under 1 other name. The record is from RNAcentral. Lineage: Bacteria; Pseudomonadati; Thermodesulfobacteriota; Desulfuromonadia; Geobacterales; Geobacteraceae.
AGAGUUUGAUCCUGGCUCAGAACGAACGCUGGCGGCGUGCUUAACACAUGCAAGUCGAACGUGAUCCGGAGCUUGCUCCGGUGAAAGUGGCGCACGGGUGAGUAACGCGUGGAUAAUCUGCCCUGGUAUCUGGGAUAACAUCUCGAAAGGGGUGCUAAUACCGGAUAAGCCUACGGGAUCCUCGGAUUCUGCAGGAAAAGGUGGCCUCUAUUUAUAAGCUACCGUAUCAGGAUGAGUCCGCGUACCAUUAGCUAGUUGGUGGGGUAAUGGCCUACCAAGGCGACGAUGGUUAGCUGGUCUGAGAGGAUGAUCAGCCACACUGGAACUGAGACACGGUCCAGACUCCUACGGGAGGCAGCAGUGGGGAAUUUUGCGCAAUGGGGGAAACCCUGACGCAGCAACGCCGCGUGAGUGAUGAAGGCUUUCGGGUCGUAAAGCUCUGUCAGAGGGGAAGAAAUGAAACGUGCUAAUAUCACGUUUUCUUGACGGUACCCUCAAAGGAAGCACCGGCUAACUCCGUGCCAGCAGCCGCGGUAAUAC